This 261-nucleotide ribosomal RNA is filed under the name uncultured bacterium. RNAcentral's name for it is "partial 16S ribosomal RNA". It matches the Rfam family "Bacterial small subunit ribosomal RNA", at positions 793 to 1055 of the family's 1533-position model. The record is from RNAcentral.
GUCCACGCCCUAAACGAUGGAUGCUCGAUGUCGGCCCGCAAGGGUCGGUGUCUAAGCUAACGCAUUAAGCAUCCCACCUGGGAAGUACGAUCGCAAGGUUGAAACUCAAAGGAAUUGACGGGGGCCCGCACAAGCAGUGGAGCAUGUGGUUUAAUUCGAUGCAACGCGAAGAACCUUACCUGGGUUUGAAAGGCAAGUGACAGGCGAUGAAAGUCGCUCUCUCCGCAAGGGGCACUUGUACAGGUGCUGCAUGGCUGUCGU